This 484-nucleotide ribosomal RNA is filed under the name uncultured bacterium. RNAcentral's name for it is "partial 16S ribosomal RNA". It matches the Rfam family "Bacterial small subunit ribosomal RNA", at positions 30 to 507 of the family's 1533-position model. The record is from RNAcentral.
AUUGAACGCUGGCGGCAGGCCUAACACAUGCAAGUCGAGCGGAUGAAGGGAGCUUGCUCCUGGAUUCAGCGGCGGACGGGUGAGUAAUGCCUAGGAAUCUGCCUGGUAGUGGGGGAUAACGUCCGGAAACGGGCGCUAAUACCGCAUACGUCCCGAGGGAGAAAGUGGGGGAUCUUCGGACCUCACGCUAUCAGAUGAGCCUAGGUCGGAUUAGCUAGUUGGUGGGGUAAAGGCCUACCAAGGCGACGAUCCGUAACUGGUCUGAGAGGAUGAUCAGUCACACUGGAACUGAGGCACGGUCCAGACUCCUACGGGAGGCAGCAGUGGGGAAUAUUGGACAAUGGGCGAAAGCCUGAUCCAGCCAUGCCGCGUGUGUGAAGAAGGUCUUCGGAUUGUAAAGCACUUUAAGUUGGGAGGAAGGGCAGUAAGUUAAUACCUUGCUGUUUUGACGUUACCAACAGAAUAAGCACCGGCUAACUUCGUG